GGUGAGUAACACGUGAGUAAUCUGCCCUCCACUUCGGGAUAAGCCUCGGAAACGGGGUCUAAUACCGGAUAUGACCACUUCAUGCAUGUGAUGGUGGUGGAAAGUUUUUCGGUGGGGGAUGUGCUCGCGGCCUAUCAGCUUGUUGGUGGGGUAAUGGCCUACCAAGGCUUCNACGGGUAGCCGGCCUGAGAGGGUGACCGGCCACNCUGGGACUGAGACACGGCCCANACUCCUACGGGAGGCAGCAGUGGGGAAUAUUGGACAAUGGGCGGAAGCCUGAUCCAGCAACGCCGCGUGAGGGAUGACGGCCUUCGGGUUGUAAACCUCUUUCAGUAGGGACGAAGCGCANGUGACGGUACCUACNNAANAAGCACCGGCCAACUNCNUGNCANCANCCGCNNNNAUACGUAGGGUGCGAGCGUUGUCCGGAAUUAUUGGGCGUAAAGGGCUCGUAGGCGGUUUGUCGCGUCGGGAGUGAAAACACUGGGCUUAACUCAGUGCUUGCUUCCGAUACGGGCAGACUAGAGGUAUUCAGGGGAGAACGGAAUUCCUGGUGUAGCGGUGAAAUGCGCAGAUAUCAGGAGGAACACCGGUGGCGAAGGCGGUUCUCUGGGAAUUACCUGACGCUGAGGAGCGAAAGUGUGGGGAGCGAACAGGAUUAGAUACCCUGGUAGUCCACACCGUAAACGUUGGGCGCUAGGUGUGGGGUCCAUUCCACGGAUUCCGUGCCGCANCUNACGCAUUAAGCGCCNCGCCNNGGGAGUACGGNCGCNNGGCUAAACUCANANGAAUUGANNGGNGNCCGNACAAGCGGNGGANCANGCNNNUUAAUUCNAU
This 837-nucleotide ribosomal RNA is filed under the name Nocardioides sp. RNAcentral describes it as "partial 16S ribosomal RNA". It matches the Rfam family "Bacterial small subunit ribosomal RNA", at positions 105 to 955 of the family's 1533-position model. The record is from RNAcentral. Lineage: Bacteria; Bacillati; Actinomycetota; Actinomycetes; Propionibacteriales; Nocardioidaceae.